CUAUGGGACUGGCUAGUUUUUACGUUGGCUCGCCAAGCCUAUCACAACCCUCCUCCUUUACCCGGGCUUGGGACCGGCUAUGCCUAGAAGACAUAGGCGGAGUUUCUUCCUUCCUUAGUAUCUCAUUAAAAUCACCGAUACAAGCCCACGGGAGGGUAGAUUCACCCCUCAAGAAAGACAUCAUAUCCCACGUGUUUUGUCUUAGGUGUCUAUGUGCCUCUCCAUAAAAGCAUCUAAAUCUUCACUCCUUGCUGAUAUCUGAAACCACCAUAUCUAUAUGAUACUUCGAGAAAUUCAGUAGCCUCAUACUAACCGGGCUCUUCCAAAAAAUAGCAAGACCGCCACUUCUUCCGCUACUACCAACUGCAUAGCCUCCUUCAUACCCCAGAACCCUCAUCAGGCCUUCAACUCUCUGCUUGGACAAUUGAGUUUCAACUAGACAAACCACCUCCGGCGCACACUCCUUGAUGAGCUCCUUGAGCUCUCGAACUGUCGAGGGGUCCGCCUAUCCCUCGACAAUUCCAACAUAUGAUUCUCAUUGGGUCUGGCGGCCCUCCUCGGAGGAGGCCGCCUCACUAGUGAAUUCCAUGUCCUCUCCCUCUUCUCUUAGCUCAAGUCUAAAGGUACAAAUGAGAAUGUGCUGGGUGUAGUUGUAGUUGCCGUGUUGCCUGGCUACCGAGCAGCCCAAGCCCAGUAGUCGCUAACAGGCCGCCGCACCACGCGUCCAUGCGAGAGAGCGCCCUCCCAGGUCUCCUUUCCUCUCCCGUCGCCGUCAUCUCCAUUGCCACUGCUGGCCGUCACCGUCGCUGGGAGGAGCACCAGAUCUGCGCCUCCCUACUCCUCCCCAUCGGGACCGGGUAGGAGGUGGAUGACCGAGGACCCCGGGGACGACAAGGUGGCCGAGCAGUCCACGACGCCAUCGGAGACAGAAAAAGGGGUCCAGCCAUCCGCGGCGCCGUCGCCGACGUCCAGAAUGGGACGCUCAUCAUGCUUCUCCACUUUAUGGCCGUGUGUAGCUUGCAGAGGCAGAUUUCAGCGGUGGCAUGGUCGUGCAGCCUCUCCAUACCACAACGUCUUUCUCCUCAGGCCGGUUGCUACCUUAAGUAAAUUUGUAUUGUUUGCAGUUGAUAGGAUCAAGAUUUUGUUCAAAAAGAAAGAGAUAUAGAGGUUCACUUUCUUGCCCAGGUGAGUGCUCGAGUUGGUAGUGUUUAAAGGAUACAUAACCUUGGUGGCGUUUCUACUAUUUUUCAUCUGCUCAAACUGUAAGUAUAUUCAGAUUAAUUUUUAUUACCGAAAAAGGGUUUCCCCCCACUUUAUAUUAUAAAGCACCAGACACACGAUCACAGGGUAACUGCCGGGGCGAACGGCACAACAAGCCCAAAAGGGAAAAAUAAGAAAUAAAAGCCAACAACGGCAGCUCGGCAAGCACAAAUGAUCCGCCACCGCUGCGCCCUCCACCUUCGUCCCACCACACGCCAUGGCACCGGCCCGCCGCAUACCAAGCAGCACCUCCAAGAAGGAAUGCGACGCCAACGACGCUGCUGCCCGGACGAGUCCUAGGGUUUCCCCCGGCAUACGGAGGGGAGCGGGUGAUGGGUAGCGCCGACGCCCUUCAAGAAGGAAUGAUGGCACCCUCAGGUGUCACCGCGUCGGAGCCGGAAGAACUGGCAAAGAUUUCUCCCACAUCCCCAAGCACCGCUACCCACUCGAACCGGGGCCAUCCAACCAUCAAGCCACCCGCAAGCACGCGCCACCACGGUCUUGGACACAUCCACGCCGCCCCGCUGCGAACACCACCACGAGGCCAAGGAGGCCGGAAAGAAGCGCCAAGCGACGGGAGGAACCACACCGAAGCCAAGCGGGAGGGAACCACCUCCCCCGCCGACGUGCGGGAGGUCCGAGCCCCCGGCGACGUCGUGGUCGCCGACCGGACGUGGCAGCAGGGCACACCGGGCCACCCCUGGCCCGGCCAGGUCCACAACGGACCCGCAAAGCCCCGCCGGCCAUGUUGCAGCAAGCCGGCACCUACGCCGCCCGCUCCCAGCUGUCAACGCCGCUCUCCCGCCUCCUGGAGGCCACGCCGCCGGCCCGUCCCGCCGUUGGCCCGCCCAAAUCCAGAUGGGGCCCAAAGGGCCCAGAUCUGGGCCGAGCGGGCUGGUUCAGGCCGCGCCGCCGCGCUGCCCCGCCGCCAACGGCGACGCCGUCGCCCAGUCGUCCACCCACGCCGCGCCAGGAUCUCCGCCGCCACGUCGGACCGCCGCCGCCGAAGAGCACCCCCCGGUGCACACCGCCCCGCGCCGGGGAGCACCGAGAGGGGAAGGGCAGGAGGCCGCCGCCGCCAGCAACCCAGGGGCCAGGCCUGGCCGCGGGUGCCGGCGACGGCGGCGGGGAGGGAGGGAGGGAAGGGGGGGCUCUAGAGGAGGGGGGGCGCCGGAGCGCGGCCGGUCGCCCGCGGGGACGACACGGUCGCGCGAGAGGAGAAGAAAGAAACGGAGGGAGUAUACUGCAGGCUGUAAAAACUCGUAAAUCAUGCUCUUGAGAUUAUCGCCAUGAGUAGUAUUUACUGGCAUAUCAUGUUUUAGAUGUUUCUCUUCAAGAGAUGCUUGCACUUUAGUUAGAGAAUUUUAUUCCUGCCGAAUCAGUAGUAUGUGUUAGAAUUGUGUACGAGAACAGGGAACAAGUAUGGUAGGCAGUGCAACAUUUAAUUAGCAAUUAGACCGAAAGAUCAUACUCAUAGGCAAUGAUGUUCUUGUCUCAUUCUUUAUUUAUUACCAGAUCAUAUCCAUAAAAACGUAUUGCUUAAUCGAGUCUUGGUUUACUUACAUGUUCUGCUUAUAAAACCAUUAUUUUCUGUAACGACCUGCUUCACAAUGAUGUGGUCCAAACCAAAUAUCUUUUCUUUUGUUAACAAACAUUUGUUAUUAUGCUUAGCAUUAUCGGGGUGACCUCUCAGAUUUGGAGUUGUACUUCGUUAUUAUGAAUAAUGAAUAUGGUCAACAAUCCGAAGAAGAGUUGCUUUCUGCUGGGAGAGUGACGCGUGUGUUACUAAUCUCUUAUUUAGCGUUGCUCUAGGGUCGGUAGUACCAUAUGAAAGAUCAAACAUUUCAUUCCUCCUUUUGUUCUGAUGCAGAUGCUUGCUUAUGUGGUUGCAGAUCGACUUGCGAUAUGUUAAGCAAAUCACUGUGCCACGCAAUGAGCAAUUAGAAAAGAGUGUUUCACCAAAGAUAUAGUAUGGACCUGCAGCUUGUUGAUAAUUUGCUCCUUGGGAGGUCUGUUUCCUUCAAGUACAGCUAAAGCAAAGAGACACCAAGUUGUUUACUGCUUGAGAUUUUGAUUACCAAUCUGCAACAAUGCACAUGCCCUUUGGUAUUGCACUCUAAAUAUUUUCAUUGCUCAUUUGUUCUCCUGCAGAUAGUUUACAUCUUAACUGUCUACAACAAAAGGGAUCCAAAGCCAUCCAUGCCAUUCCGUAUUCCUCUCAUCAUACACUUGAUCAUAAAAAUCAGCUUAUUUUGUUACGGCCCUACCAUUUAAUCUAUCAAACUACUGUUAUUGCAAUUGGUCUUGAAAGGCCACUAAACUAUUACUACAUUAUUUGGCAUUGCUGUAUGAUUUAUUCAUUUGGAGGAACUUCUUUUAUUGGUGAGAAAAAUACUGUGAUUCAGUCCCAUCCUUUUUACUAUGUGAUUCGAUUUACCAGCACUGGACUUUUUACAUGCUGUUAUGCAUUUAUUCAGUCCCAUCCUUUUAGAUUAUCCUUCCACUUUCAGCUGAGAUAUGAUAUAUCUAAAAGCUCUAAUGAGCAUGUAUAGCUAGCAAGGAAUAACUAAAGUCUUUGCAAUUUACGUGUUGUUGUGCGUCGAUUUAGCCCAAUUGUGCAAUCAGAAUGACUUAGAUUCCGCCGUUGUCAUAAGCCCGAGGUUCUGAUCUUAGACCUGGCCGUUCGACCAGAUACUAAGUCAGACAAACUCUGUCUAGUUCUUGAGAUUAUUUUCUAGCUUUGGAUUAAAAAUCUGCAAACAGUACUUAUGCUUCUUACAUUCCUUCCGGCUGUAAAAUACACACAUUCUUUCUAUUUGUUGUAACUUUCUACUAAACUAUGUGUGUUGAACAAAGCAUGUCAUCUUAUUUCAGAUAAAUGAUGAUGUAGUAAUGGAUGCCUUCUACACGCUACAUGUGUGGUUCCCGAAUUGGACCAUAUAUUUCCGCGAAGAUCUUCAAAUCGACUUGCGAUGUUGGGCAGAUCACAACAUUAAAAGACGAGCAUUUAGAGAAGUGUGUGCUCGCCAAGGACCCAAUGGGUUUCUUAAGAGCUGGUUGCACAUCGUUGCUGUUAGAUGCACCCAACAGGAAAAUUGUUUUUUCUUCACUUCUUGGGCCAGCAUUACUCGACGAGGAACCUAAUCCAUUCUUGGCGAAGGAAAUCCGAAGACUCCGGCAGAUAACAUAUUUGUUGGCAUUGACUCCUGUCAUUAUUGCAACUAUUUUAGGCUGCUACCCGAUUGUCACUGGCCAUUUUUAUAGAAACGCCUUGCUUUCGCUAUUUUGUACUGUUCGGCUGCCCCUUAAUGCGCUACUCAGGCUUCGGCCUUUUUUUAUAUAAAUGACUUGCUCUUACUA
Triticum aestivum (bread wheat) is the source of this 4620-nucleotide RNA transcript. RefSeq lists it as uncharacterized. The transcript has 5 exons. Lineage: Eukaryota; Viridiplantae; Streptophyta; Magnoliopsida; Poales; Poaceae. The record is from RefSeq and is a predicted model, not a curated record.